This 493-nucleotide ribosomal RNA is filed under the name uncultured bacterium. RNAcentral's name for it is "partial 16S ribosomal RNA". It matches the Rfam family "Bacterial small subunit ribosomal RNA", at positions 29 to 507 of the family's 1533-position model. The record is from RNAcentral.
AGUGAACGCUGGCGGUAGGCCUAACACAUGCAAGUCGAACGGCAGCACAGUAAGAGCUUGCUCUUACGGGUGGCGAGUGGCGGACGGGUGAGGAAUACAUCGGAAUCUACUUUUUCGUGGGGGAUAACGUAGGGGAAACUUACGCUAAUACCGCAUACGACCUACGGGUGAAAGCAGGGGAUCUUCGGACCUUGCGCGAUUGAAUGAGCCGAUGUCGGAUUAGCUAGUUGGCGGGGUAAAGGCCCACCAAGGCGACGAUCCGUAGCUGGUCUGAGAGGAUGAUCAGCCACACUGGAACUGAGACACGGUCCAGACUCCUACGGGAGGCAGCAGUGGGGAAUAUUGGACAAUGGGCGCAAGCCUGAUCCGGCCAUACCGCGUGGGUGAAGAAGGCCUUCGGGUUGUAAAGCCCUUUUGUUGGGAAAGAAAAGCAGCAGGUUAAUACCCCGCUGUUCUGACGGUACCCAAAGAAUAAGCACCGGCUAACUUCGUG